Molecule: RNA transcript, 4870 nt
Organism: Melospiza melodia melodia
Lineage: Eukaryota; Metazoa; Chordata; Aves; Passeriformes; Passerellidae
Gene: GRIN1
Gene name: glutamate ionotropic receptor NMDA type subunit 1
Exons: 22
Source: RefSeq, a predicted model, not a curated record
GGGGGCGCGGGGGGCCCGGCGGGCUCCGGGCCGCCCGUGGAUGAGCACCAUGCGGCUGCUGCUGCUCGCCCUCCUCUUCUCCUCGUCCUUCGCCCGCGCCGGCUGCGACCCGAAGAUCGUCAAUAUCGGCGCGGUGCUGAGCACCAAGAAGCACGAGCAGAUCUUCCGCGAGGCGGUGAACCAGGCCAACAAGCGGCACGGCACCUGGAAGCUCCAGCUCAACGCCACCUCCGUCACCCACAAGCCCAACGCCAUCCAGAUGGCCCUGUCCGUCUGCGAGGACCUCAUCUCCAGCCAGGUCUAUGCAAUAUUAGUUAGUCACCCUCCUGCUCCCAACGAUCACCUAACACCAACACCUGUAUCAUACACAGCUGGCUUCUACAGGAUCCCUGUCAUUGGUCUGACAACACGCAUGUCUAUAUACUCUGAUAAGAGCAUCCACCUGUCCUUUUUGCGCACGGUCCCACCCUACUCUCACCAGGCCAACGUCUGGUUUGAGAUGAUGAGAGUCUUCAACUGGAACCACGUCAUCCUGAUAGUCAGCGACGACCACGAGGGUCGUGCUGCACAGAAGAAGCUGGAGACCCUCCUGGAGGAGAAAGAGUCCAAGAGUAAAAAAAGGAACUAUGAAAACCUCGACCAACUUUCCUAUGACAACAAGCGAGGACCCAAGGCUGAGAAAGUGCUUCAGUUUGACCCUGGGACCAAAAAUGUGACAGCGCUGCUGCUGGAGGCGAAGGAGCUGGAGGCCAGGGUCAUCAUCCUCUCUGCCAGCGAGGAUGACGCGGCCACGGUGUACAGAUCAGCAGCCAUGCUCAACAUGACGGGCUCGGGCUACGUGUGGCUGGUGGGGGAGCGGGAGAUCUCGGGCAAUGCCCUGCGCUACGCCCCGGACGGAGUGAUCGGCCUGCAGCUCAUCAACGGCAAGAACGAGUCUGCCCACAUCAGUGACGCUGUCGCCGUGGUGGCCCAGGCCGUGCACGACUUGUUCGAGAAGGAGAAUAUCACAGACCCACCGCGGGGCUGCGUGGGCAACACCAACAUCUGGAAGACAGGACCCCUUUUUAAGAGGGUGUUGAUGUCCUCCAAGUACUCAGAGGGUGUCACCGGCCGGGUGGAGUUCAACGAGGACGGGGACAGGAAAUUUGCCAACUACAGCAUCAUGAACCUGCAGAACCGAAAACUGGUCCAGGUUGGGAUUUACAACGGCAGCAAUGUCCUGACCAACGACAGGAAGAUCAUCUGGCCUGGAGGGGAAACUGAGAAACCUCAAGGCUAUCAGAUGUCAACCAAGCUGAAGAUUGUGACCAUCCACCAAGAGCCCUUUGUGUAUGUGAAGCCCACUCAGGCAGAUGGGACAUGCAGGGAGGAAUUCACCAUCAAUGGAGAUCCUGUCAAAAAGGUUUUCUGCACUGGACCCAAUGAGACCAUCCCAGGCCGUCCCACCGUGGCCCUGUGCUGCUACGGCUUCUGCAUCGACCUGCUCAUCCGCCUGGCAGGCGUGAUGAACUUCACCUACGAGGUUCACCUGGUGGCUGAUGGUAAAUUUGGUACCCAAGAGAGGGUGAACAACAGCAACAAGAAGGAGUGGAAUGGGAUGAUGGGGGAGCUGCUGAGCGGCCAGGCUGACAUGAUUGUGGCUCCCCUCACCAUCAACAACGAGCGGGCUCAGUACAUUGAGUUCUCCAAGCCCUUCAAGUACCAGGGCCUCACCAUCCUCGUGAAGAAGGAAAUCCCCCGCAGCACCCUGGACUCGUUCAUGCAGCCCUUCCAGAGCACGCUCUGGCUGCUGGUGGGGCUGUCUGUGCACGUGGUGGCAGUGAUGUUGUACCUCUUAGACCGAUUCAGCCCAUUUGGCCGGUUCAAAGUAAACAGUGAGGAGGAGGAGGAAGAUGCCCUGACUCUCUCCUCAGCCAUGUGGUUCUCCUGGGGAGUCCUGCUGAACUCUGGCAUUGGAGAAGGUGCUCCCCGGAGUUUCUCUGCCCGUAUCCUUGGCAUGGUGUGGGCUGGCUUUGCUAUGAUCAUUGUGGCUUCAUACACUGCCAACCUGGCAGCCUUCCUGGUGUUGGACCGACCUGAGGAGAGGAUCACAGGCAUCAACGACCCCCGGCUGCGCAACCCCUCGGAUAAGUUCAUCUACGCCACGGUGAAGCAGAGCUCUGUGGACAUCUACUUCCGACGGCAGGUGGAGCUGAGCACCAUGUACCGACACAUGGAGAAGCACAACUACGAGAGCGCUGCCGAGGCCAUCCAGGCAGUGAGGGACAACAAGCUCCACGCCUUCAUCUGGGACUCGGCGGUGCUGGAGUUCGAGGCCUCCCAGAAGUGUGACCUGGUGACCACGGGGGAGCUCUUCUUCCGCUCCGGCUUCGGGAUCGGCAUGCGCAAGGACAGCCCCUGGAAGCAGAACGUCUCCCUGGCCAUCCUCAAGUCUCAUGAGAACGGCUUCAUGGAGGAUUUGGACAAGACUUGGGUGAGGUAUCAAGAGUGUGAUUCCCGUAGCAAUGCCCCAGCAACACUCACCUUUGAAAAUAUGGCAGGUGUGUUUAUGCUGGUGGCUGGAGGUAUUGUUGCCGGGAUAUUUUUAAUAUUCAUAGAGAUAGCUUACAAAAGGCAUAAGGACGCGCGGAGGAAGCAGAUGCAGCUGGCGUUUGCGGCCGUUAAUGUGUGGAGGAAAAACCUGCAGGAUAGAAAAAGUGGUAGAGCAGAACCUGACCCUAAAAAGAAAGCCACUUUUAGGUCCAUCACCUCCACCCUGGCCUCCAGCUUCAAGAGACGUAGGUCCUCCAAGGAUACGCCCUGCAGAAUGGUCCCUCAGGAGUGCCAGAGAGACAGGCUGGCACCAUGGAGCCAAGACAGCCCUGGGAAGCUUCCACCCCACUCUGAACGUCCUAGCGCCCACCAUCACCCGAGCUGCACAGCCUCUCCGCGGCACAUCAUCCCCACCGCCCCAGGAGGAGAUGCAUGUGUUCCCCAUAGGCAGCUCCUGCAACUCGAGUAGCACUGGCAGAGCUGACGUGUCCAUCCAUCGCAGCCACCCACGAUACUGCAACCCCACAGACGCCAUGUGAGACGCAUAAACCACACAGACACCUCCGAGCCGGCACAUUGCGUACAGACACGAUCGAGGUGCACAGGUCCCUUAGCCCCCGCAGAGCCACACUGCCAGCCCCAGCCCCGUGACACAGCAGUGGCACACGGCCCGCGGCACCGCCCCGCCCUGGGCACGGUGCCGGGGCUGGGCGGCAACCGAGGGGCUUCCUGCAAAAGGUCACCUUUUCAGUGAAGGAUCAGCUGUCCCAAAGCCAAACACUUCUUGGCUGAGAAAGAGCCUAGUUUUUGGCCCAAAAGAACCAAAACAGUAUCACCCCACCGACAUCACCGGCCAGCUCAACCUCUCCGACCCCUCAGUCAGCACUGUGGUGUGACCUUCUCCCCGAGGGCCAUCAGUCCUUGCCCAACCCAGUAGGAAGGCACAGCCAGGACUGCCUUUCAAGGGACACUGAUGGGUUCUUCUGGGUGAGAUGGGAGGAAAGCAUCCUUCAUCCAUACACGGUGACUCCAUUGUAUAUCUCCCUCCCUUCCUAGGCCUGCUGCCAUGCUCGUGCCCCAGGAAGCACGGCAGAACCAGGACAAGGUUUGGACUUCACUGUACAGAGAUAAUUGCUUCCAAACAGUGCCACAAUGAUCAGAAUUGCCACUGGCUGGCUCCGUGCAAGGGGAAAGGACUGCAGAAGGCACACGGUGCCUGCUCUCCCACGGUAGCAGGGAAGAGCUGGUGCCAGACCACAAACCCGUGCUUAACCUCACAGGCUGCAGCCUUCUGAGCACACACAGCCCCUCAGACGUGUGCUCCACGUCUCCCACCACCUGGAGGGCUCCACAGUCCUGCGCAGCCAGAGCAGCCAGCUCCCGGUGUGGCAGGUUGGGCACAUGUUCCUGCUGUGCCCAGAGACCCUUCUGUCUGCUGCAGGGGCUGGAAGAUGUGUGCUCUGCUCCUUGCAGGGGAUGGACACUCCUCCCUUUUCCCCCACCGUCCCGUGGCUGUGACUCGGUUCCCGUCCGUGGUCUGGCAGAGAGGAGAGCUCCCUCCCUGCAGCCCUCGCCCCUGAGCUAACCGCGGUACUCCGGAGCCUGGAGUGCCGCCAGCCGAGACCCCGGCUCCCACCUCUCCUGCACAGAAACAUCCCCAGGACCUGGCCACGGCCAGCAUGUAGCACUCACACAGCAGCUCUCCUGGCCAGGAAUUCUCCACGGGAAAUGGCUCUGGAUGGUUGCACUGACCUCUACCCCAGCUCCACACUGCCUCAGCACCAGCAAUGCAAGGAGAGAUGCUGCUGGCUGGUCCCGGCUCGCUGCGGGCCCCCAGCCUGUCUGCACGGCCGGGGCACCACGGCCAGCGCUGGCGGCUCCCCUGCCACCCUCACCUGCAGUUCAGCUUGCCAGCAGCUCCCGCGGCUGCCCUGCAGCCCCAGCGCAAGGAAAGGUGGAAAGCAGAUCCCAGUUCGGGAGAAGGAACAGAACGGGCCGGGCUGACCCCGUCCCUCCCCGCGCCGUCCUCCCCUCGGGCCCGCAUGGGCACCCCGAGCACCCUCCCCGUGGGCAGCGGGGUGAGCAGCGUCUCCUGCCAGCAGAACACCCAGGGGCAGCGUGGUGCCCACGGACUGCCCUCCCCGGCCCCAGGCUGCCCCCGCGGGCAGGAUUUCACAUGGCAGCUGAGGUCUGUGAGCAUCGUCCCACCGACUGCUGUGGCUCCAUCAUGUUCAUCUAGCUCCAGCUGAGAAAUCGGACCCAUCCUACUUUAUACGUCAAUGUUACAUGAAUACCAAGUUUUUGCAAGAGCUCAGUAAAGUCUAGACUGGAUCAUGAA